CAGCAGCCGCGGUAAUACGUAGGUGGCGAGCGUUGUCCGGAAUUAUUGGGCGUAAAGGGCUCGCAGGCGGUUUCUUAAGUCUGAUGUGAAAGCCCCCGGCUCAACCGGGGAGGGUCAUUGGAAACUGGGAAACUUGAGUGCAGAAGAGGAGAGUGGAAUUCCACGUGUAGCGGUGAAAUGCGUAGAGAUGUGGAGGAACACCAGUGGCGAAGGCGACUCUCUGGUCUGUAACUGACGCUGAGGAGCGAAAGCGUGGGGAGCGAACAGGAUUAGAUACCCCUGUAGUCCCUGUCUCUUAUAC
This 301-nucleotide ribosomal RNA is filed under the name uncultured bacterium. Its description in RNAcentral is "partial 16S ribosomal RNA". It matches the Rfam family "Bacterial small subunit ribosomal RNA", at positions 509 to 807 of the family's 1533-position model. The record is from RNAcentral.